UGGGGAAUCUUGCACAAUGGGGGAAACCCUGAUGCAGCGACGCCGCGUGAGCGAUGAAGGUUUUCGAAUCGUAAAGCUCUGUCCUAUGGGAAGAUAAUGACGGUACCAUGGGAGGAAGCACCGGCUAACUACGUGCCAGCAGCCGCGGCAAUACGUCGGGGGGGAGCGUUGUUCGGAAUUACUGGGCGUAAAGGGUUCGCAGGGGGCAUGGCAAGUACGAUGUAAAAGGCGAGGGCUCAACCUUCGUAAGCAUCGGAAACUGUCAAGCAUGAGGGAAGGAGAGGCAAGUGGAAUUCCUAGUGUAGCGGUGGAAUGCGUAGAUAUUAGGAGGAAUACCGGUGGCGAAGGCGACUUGCUGGACUUCAACUGACGCUGAGGAACGAAAGCGUGGGUAGCAAACAGG
This 403-nucleotide ribosomal RNA is filed under the name Fusobacteriota bacterium. RNAcentral describes it as "Fusobacteria bacterium partial 16S ribosomal RNA". It matches the Rfam family "Bacterial small subunit ribosomal RNA", at positions 355 to 776 of the family's 1533-position model. The record is from RNAcentral. Lineage: Bacteria; Fusobacteriati; Fusobacteriota.